This 120-nucleotide ribosomal RNA is filed under the name Petromyzon marinus (sea lamprey). The record is from RNAcentral. Lineage: Eukaryota; Metazoa; Chordata; Hyperoartia; Petromyzontiformes; Petromyzontidae.
ACCUAUGACCAAUUCACCUUGAAAACACCAGAUCUUAUUGGAUCUCGGAAGCUAAGCAGCAUUGAGCCGGGGUCAAUAUUUGGAUUGGUGACUGCUUGAGAAUAACAGAUGUUGUGGGCU